RNAcentral lists this ribosomal RNA (319 nucleotides) under uncultured eukaryote. RNAcentral's name for it is "partial 18S ribosomal RNA". It matches the Rfam family "Eukaryotic small subunit ribosomal RNA", at positions 1470 to 1796 of the family's 1831-position model. The record is from RNAcentral.
CCCUUAGAUGUUCUGGGCAGCACGCGCGCUACAAUGGUCUUCGCAAACGGAUGCAUUCUCGAAGGAGAAUGCCAAUCUUGGAAUCUAUGCCUUGGUCGGGACAGUUGUUUGCAAUUUUUCGACUCGAACCAGGAAUUCCUUGUAAUCGUGAUUCAUCACAUCACGAUGAAUACGUCCCUACCCUUUGUACACACCGCCCGUCGCUCCUACCGAUCGAAGAGUUAGGUGAAUUGUUUUGAUCGAUAAGAUUUGACUAUGGUCAACUCUCGUUGUGAAAUUCUGUGAAUCUGACUGUUUAGAGGAAGGAAAAGUCGUAACA